UAUGGCCAUACCACCAUGAACGUGCCUGAUCUCAUCUGAUCUCAGAACCUAAGCAGGGUCAGACCUGGUUAGUACUUGGAUGGGAGAAUUACAACAUGAUCUGGCAAUUCCACUU
This 115-nucleotide ribosomal RNA is filed under the name Prolemur simus (greater bamboo lemur). The record is from RNAcentral. Lineage: Eukaryota; Metazoa; Chordata; Mammalia; Primates; Lemuridae.